This 497-nucleotide ribosomal RNA is filed under the name uncultured bacterium. Its description in RNAcentral is "partial 16S ribosomal RNA". It matches the Rfam family "Bacterial small subunit ribosomal RNA", at positions 28 to 507 of the family's 1533-position model. The record is from RNAcentral.
GAUGAACGCUGGCGGCGUGCCUAAUACAUGCAAGUCGAGCGAACGGACGAGAAGCUUGCUUCUCUGAUGUUAGCGGCGGACGGGUGAGUAAUACGUGGAUAACCUCCCUAUAAGACUGGGAUAACUUCGGGAAACCGGAGCUAAUACCGGAUAAUAUUUUGAACCGCAUGGUUCAAAAGUGAAAGACGGUCUUGCUGUCACUUAUAGAUGGACCCGCGCUGCAUUAGCUAGUUGGUAAGGUAACGGCUUACCAAGGCAACGAUGCAUAGCCGACCUGAGAGGGUGGUCGGCCGCACUGGAACUGAGGCACGGUCCAGACUCCUACGGGAGGCAGCAGUAGGGAAUCUUCCGCAAUGGUCGGAAGCCUGACGGAGCAGCGCCGCGUGAGUGAUGAAGGUCUUCGGAUCGUAAAACUCUGUUAUUGGGGAAGAACAUAUGUGUAAUUAACUGUGCGCAGCUUGACGGUACCUAAUCAGAAAGCCACGGCUAACUACGUG